AGGACGAACGCUGGCGGCGUGCUUAACACAUGCAAGUCGAACGAUGAUGCUGCAACUUGUUGUGGUGGAUUAGUGGCGAACGGGUGAGUAACACGUGAGUAACCUGCCUUUCACUCUGGGAUAAGCCUUGGAAACGAGGUCUAAUACUGGAUAUGACCCCUUGUCGCAUGGUGGGGGUGGAAAGCCUUUCGGGGUGGUGGAUGAUGGACUCGCGGACUAUCAGCUUGUUGGUGGGGUUGUGGCCUACCAAGGCGUUGACGGUUAGCCGG
This 269-nucleotide ribosomal RNA is filed under the name uncultured bacterium. RNAcentral's name for it is "partial small subunit ribosomal RNA". It matches the Rfam family "Bacterial small subunit ribosomal RNA", at positions 26 to 290 of the family's 1533-position model. The record is from RNAcentral.